UCAGUGUUUGUGGGAUUGUUUGUGUGUGUUCGUGACACUGUUUUUUCUCUCCUAUAUUUUGGAUUACCUUUGGAUUCAUUCUUGCACUCCAAAUUUGUUACACCUGUUUUGGAUUGGUUAUUCCCUUGGACUGCUUACCAGGUUCUUUAAACUGUUUCCUUAAAACCCACUAGUUGUAUCUGCUCGGUCUGAAGUGACUGCAUUUUGGGUCCAAAUUCCGGAUACCUGUCGCUUAGUUUGAUUGAAUCUUAAUAAAGGAGGGUUGUGAUUACAAGGUAAGUGGCUGAAAUCCAGAGAAGAGCAGGACGCCUCAUUAGGAGGACGUGACAAAUGUUUUUUAGUCAUACUAGGGAGGUGGCUCCAUGGAUGGCAAUGUCAGUUGGUCAGCCAGUCCACCACUUUGGUCCUAAUAGAAAAUAUCAACAACAAUUAGAUGAAUUUCCACGACAUUCUGUACAGACAUUCAUGUUCCCCAGAGAAUGCUUCCUUAUUUAUUUAACUUUAGUGAUGCUUAGAUUUUUCCUGCAGCAGCACCGUGAGGUUGAGGUUUAUAAUUUGGAGUGAAAACUCUCUACUACUACUGGAUAGAUAGCAUGACAUUUGGUGCCAAUAUUCAUGUACUUAUACUUGUGAUCUUUUGAUUUUCAUCUACUGCUAUUAUAGGUCAAAGUUUCAGUUUGUCCAACGCUUUGUUAAAGGACUUUUUCCAUUUAAAAACUGGGUUUUGCUUAUUGGUACUUGGAUGUUUGAGCUUCACUGCACAGAGUGUGACAUCACAAAUGGUCUGGAAGCCAAUCGUGGUCCAAUAUGCAACUUAGACAAGCGUGAUGUGAAACUUGAAGCCUCCAGCGCAAACACGUGAAUAAUUGAAGGAGGAGACAUCUUGUAUCCAACAGUUAAACUGUAAAAACAACACACAUUUGCAUAUGUUCUGGAUUUUUCAAAAGGGAGAAGCAGUAGAUCCAUCCAUCGUCAACCGCUUAUCCUGCGUACAGGGUCGCGGGGGGCUGGAGCCAAUCCCAGCUGACGUCGGGCGAAAGGCGGGGUACACCCUGGACAGGACGCCAGUCCAUUGCAGGGCGAGAAGCAGUAGAUGUAAUUUGAAAAGUAACAAGGGACCAAUAAAGUUCCAUCUCCUGCCUCCUCUAAGGCCACUCCUACAGGCCAUUUCUGUAAGUGAGAAUAUUAUAUGUUCUUUCUCAAUCUGCCAAGUCAAACAACUGUUUAAACUGUGUAAUGCAUUAAUGAUGAAAAAUGGAUCUGUG
This is a long non-coding RNA of Micropterus salmoides (largemouth bass), 1265 nucleotides long. RefSeq lists it as uncharacterized. The record is from RefSeq and is a predicted model, not a curated record. The transcript is spliced from 2 exons. NCBI's taxonomy places the organism in Eukaryota, Metazoa, Chordata, Actinopteri, Centrarchiformes, Centrarchidae.